AAGUCGUAACAAGGUCUCCGUUGGUGAACCAGCGGAGGGAUCAUUACCGAGUUUACAACUCCCAAACCCAAUGUGAACGUUACCAAACUGUUGCCUCGGCGGGAUCUCUGCCCCGGGUGCGUCGCAGCCCCGGACCAAGGCGCCCGCCGGAGGACCAACCAAAACUCUUAUUGUAUACCCCCUCGCGGGUUUUUUUUAUAAUCUGAGCCUUCUCGGCGCCUCUCGUAGGCGUUUCGAAAAUGAAUCAAAACUUUCAACAACGGAUCUCUUGGUUCUG
Molecule: unclassified non-coding RNA, 277 nt
Filed under: Trichoderma sp.
Lineage: Eukaryota; Fungi; Ascomycota; Sordariomycetes; Hypocreales; Hypocreaceae
Also listed under: 1 other name
Description: partial internal transcribed spacer region
Rfam family: Eukaryotic small subunit ribosomal RNA (bases 1-46)
Source: RNAcentral